Molecule: ribosomal RNA, 237 nt
Filed under: uncultured bacterium
Lineage: Bacteria
Description: partial 16S ribosomal RNA
Rfam family: Bacterial small subunit ribosomal RNA
Source: RNAcentral
CGAACGGGUGAGUAACGCGUGAGGAACCUGCCUCAAAGAGGGGGACAACAGUUGGAAACGACUGCUAAUACCGCAUAAGCCCACAGGUCGGCAUCGACCAGAGGGAAAAGGAGCAAUCCGCUUUGAGAUGGCCUCGCGUCCGAUUAGCUAGUUGGUGAGGUAAUGGCCCACCAAGGCAACGAUCGGUAGCCGGACUGAGAGGUUGAACGGCCACAUUGGGACUGAGACACGGCCCAA